This is a long non-coding RNA of Callithrix jacchus (white-tufted-ear marmoset), 590 nucleotides long. RefSeq annotates it as mitochondrial import receptor subunit TOM7 homolog. The record is from RefSeq and is a predicted model, not a curated record. NCBI's taxonomy places the organism in Eukaryota, Metazoa, Chordata, Mammalia, Primates, Cebidae.
CUGCCGUAAAGGCCGUGUGUUGCGCCUGCGCACCUUCUUUCCCUUUCGGAUUUCCGACGCGGUGGUUGCUGUAAAGGUUCCUACCAGCGCCACACGGCCGUCGCCAUGGUGAAGCUGAGCAAAGAGGCCAAGCAGAGGCUGCAGCAGCUUUUCAAAGGGGGCCAGUUUGCCAUCCGCUGGGGUUUUAUUCCUCUUGUGAUUUACCUGGGAUUUAAGAGAGGUGCAGAUCCUGGAAUGCCUGAACCAACUGUUUUGAGGGUCUCACUCUGUCACCCAGGCUGGAGUGCAGUGGCACAGUCACGGCUCACUGCAGCCUUGACCUCCUGAGUUUAGCUGGUCCUCCCACCUCAGCCUCCCAAGUAGCCAGGACCACAGCCUACUUUGGGGAUAAAGGAUUAUUUGGUCUUCUGGAUUUGGAAGCAAUUAGCAGACAGCAUGGAAGAUGUGUGCCCUGGCUUGGAUAAGAGAUGGGACAUCGUUCGGUCACCAGUUGGAUGGCACAAGGCUCAUCACAGAUGAAUCUGUAGCAGAUUGGAGCUUGUACUAACUUCCGAUAGAAUGUAUCAGAAUAAAUGUUUUUAACAAUGUUA